CCUACGAGAGGCAGCAGUGGGGAAUAUUGGACAAUGGGGGGAACCCUGAUCCAGCCAUGCCGCGUGUGUGAAGAAGGCCCUCGGGUUGUAAAGCACUUUCAGUGAGGAAGAACGCCUGGUGGUUAAUACCCAUCAGGAAAGACAUCACUCACAGAAGAAGCACCGGCUAACUCCGUGCCAGCAGCCGCGGUAAUACGGAGGGUGCGAGCGUUAAUCGGAAUGACUGGGCGUAAAGCGCGCGUAGGUGGCUUGAUAAGCCGGUUGUGAAAGCCCCGGGCUCAACCUGGGAACGGCAUCCGGAACUGUCAAGCUAGAGGGCAGGAGAGGAAGGUAGAAUUCCCGGUGUAGCGGUGAAAUGCGUAGAGAUCGGGAGGAAUACCAGUGGCGAAGGCGGCCUUCUGGACUGACACUGACACUGAGGUGCGAAAGCGUGGGUAGCAAACAGGAUUAGAUACCCGUGUAGUC
This 465-nucleotide ribosomal RNA is filed under the name Vreelandella stevensii. Its description in RNAcentral is "partial 16S ribosomal RNA". It matches the Rfam family "Bacterial small subunit ribosomal RNA", at positions 338 to 795 of the family's 1533-position model. The record is from RNAcentral. Lineage: Bacteria; Pseudomonadati; Pseudomonadota; Gammaproteobacteria; Oceanospirillales; Halomonadaceae.